This 253-nucleotide ribosomal RNA is filed under the name uncultured bacterium. RNAcentral describes it as "partial 16S ribosomal RNA". It matches the Rfam family "Bacterial small subunit ribosomal RNA", at positions 524 to 776 of the family's 1533-position model. The record is from RNAcentral.
GCCGAACCACCCAAACGUUAUUCGGAAUCACUGGGCUUAAAGAGUGCGUAGGCGGUCAUGUAAGUAGGGUGUGAAAUCCCACAGCUCAACUGUGGAACUGCGCUCUAAACUACAUGACUAGAGGGAUAUAGAGGUGAGCAGAACUGAUGGUGGAGCGGUGAAAUGCGUUGAUAUCAUCAGGAAUACCGGAGGCGAAGGCGGCUCACUGGGUAUCUUCUGACGCUGAGGUACGAAAGCUAGGGGAGCGAACGGG